UUUUCAGAGGUGACAUCAACGAGAGUCAAAGUCAUCAACCCUCAGAUUAGAGCAGAUUAAGAUCCUCAUUCCUCUGAUUUAGGAUCAUCUAGACCUGACAUCUGUGAGAGACCACGGCUCAGCUGGGAACACUAGAGAAGAUCACCUUAGUGGGAGAGAGAGAGAGAGAGGGGGGGGGGGGCAGAGAGAGAGGGAGAGAGAGAGAGAGAGAGAGGGAGAGAGAGAGAGAGAGAGAGAGAGGGGGGGGCAGAGAGAGAGGGAGAGAGAGAGAGAGAGAGAGGGGGGGGGGCAGAGAGAGAGGGAGAGAGAGAGAGAGAGAGAGAGAGAGAGAGAGAGAGAGAGAGAGAGGGGGGGCAAAGAGAGAGGAGAGAGAGAGAGAGAGAGAGAGAGAGAGAGAGAGGGGGGGGCAGAGAGAGAGGGAGAGAGAGAGAGAGAGAGAGGGAGAGAGAGGGAGAGAGAGAGAGAGAGAGAGAGAGGGAGAGAGAGAGAGGGAGGGGGGGCAGAGAGAGAGGGAGAGAGGGAGAGAGGGGGAGAGAGAGAGGGGGAGAGGGAGGGAGAGAAAGAGAGAGAGAGGAAAGGGAGAGAGAGAGAAGAGAGAGAGAAAGAGAGAGGGAGAGGGAGAGAGAGAGAGAGGAAAGGAAGAGAGAGAGAGAGAAGGAGAGAGAGAGAGAGAGAGAGGGCGAGAGAGGGAGAGAGAGAGAAGAGAGAGAGAGAGAGGGAGAGAGAGAGGGAGUGUGUGUGUGUGCAUGUGUAUCUUGCAGUACUCUGAGGUGAAUUUUGAGGAUUCAUCUGAGAGUCUGGAGGGCUGAUUAUUCCCUUACAGAUGGACCCUUUAGAUGAAAAUCAAAAAUCCCAGGUCAUAAGGGCUCUGUUGAUGUUUUUUUUCCUCAUUCAUAUUCAAACCACUAUUUUAUAUCACUGCUAAUAGACCAAGGCCAUCUUAUGGUGUUUAGCUUUGUUAUUUCUAUGCAUUUUGCGAGGUAAGAAACCCAGGCCUUCACUGAAAUUUCCCCAAAACUUUAUGUAAGGGCCUCUGGUUGUUAAAGGGGGUCAUUACACCUAAAACAUAUUUUCCCUAAAUAUUGAAGAUAAAAGCUUAGAUCUAUUAGGUAUAAAUAGAAAAAAAAAUUGAAAUAUGUUAGGAUUAUAGCGUAUGACAAAUAUGUGGUUAUAAUGGGAGUCAAUUGGCCACAUGUGGCCACAAGGGUAACAGGUGUCGGUGUGAUGCAGAUCUCCUAUUCUAAACACUUCCAGUACACAGGUUUUUGGAAUUAAGGAAAUAAAAAUGAAAAAAAAUAGUGCCAAAAUUUCAUACAGCUAGCCUUUAAACUGACCGGGUUACUGAGAGAAGAACAAAAAAAACACCCAAAAUGACCACUUUCGUCGCCAAGAUGCUCCGAGGGUUAACUAUGUGAGGACAUCAGGAUAAAACAGUGGAAGUGUUUCUGCUCGAUGAGGUUUCUAUGAGGUCAAUAAAUGUUGGUUCAGUUGAUCUUCAGGACGGCUGCAGCUUUAAGAACUUCUGAUUGUUUUAGUUUGAGGGUCUAAAGAUCACAGAGAUGCUCCUCUUCCUUGACUGUAGAUAAACUGCCCCCCCCCCCCCCGUCUCUCACACAGCUCACUCCAUUCUGCACUCUCACUUCCUUCCUCCCUCCCCCCCUCAGAUCUACAGUCUAAGGUUGGGUAUAACCUCCGUGUGCUGAGGUCAUAUCCUGUUGACUCACACAUGUUGUUGAGAUCAGAGCUCAGACUAGUUUCACUUCUCAGGAAAUAAAACUCAGUCAGUCGUCGUCGACAGCGAGUGUUGAAAUGGCGCAGAAAGGAGUUCAUCUGGACCGUGAGUCUUUCUCUUGUUCCAUCUGUUUGGAUCUUCUGAAGGAUCCGGUGACUGUUUCCUGUGGACACAGCUUCUGCAUGAGCUGUAUUCAAUCCCACUGGGAUAAUGAGGAUGAGAAGAUGAUCUACAGCUGUCCUCAGUGUAGAGAGACUUUCAGACCGAGGCCUGUCCUGAAGAAAAACACCAUGUUAGCAGGUUUAGUGGAGGAAGUGAAGAAGAGCGGACUCCAAGCUGCUCCUGAUGGUUCCUCUGAGGCUGGACCUGAAGAUGUGGCCUGUGAUUCCUGCAGUGGGAGAAAACGGAAAUCUGUCAAGUCCUGUCUGCGAUGUCUGGCUUCUUACUGUCAGAUUCACCUCCAGCCUCAUUAUGAAGUUACUCCAUUAAAGAAACACAAGCUGGUGGAGCCCUCCAAGAAGCUGGAGGAGAGUCGAGAAAACAUCCAGCAGAGAAUCCAGGACAGAGAAGAAGAUGUGAAGCUGCUCCAACAGGAGGUGGAGGCUAUCAACGGCUCUGCUGAUAAAGCUGUGGAGCACAGCCAGGAGAUCUUCACCAAGCUGAUCCGUCUGAUGGAGAAACGCCGCUCUGACGUGGAGCAGCAGGUCAGAUCCCAGCAGGAACGUGAAGUGAGUCGAGUCAAAGAACUUCAGGAGAAACUGGAGCAGGAGAUCACUGAGCUGAAGAGGAAAGACGCUGAUCUGCAGAAGCUCUCACUCACAGAGGACCACAACCAGUUUCUGCACAGCUACCCCUCACUGUCAGAACCGGGUCAACCUGCAGACUCAUCCAGGAUCAACAUCCGUCCUCUGAGAUACUUUGAGGAGGUGACAGCAGCUGUGUCAGAGCUCAGAGAGAAACUCCAGGAUCUUCUGACAGAGACGUGGACAAACGUCUCACAGGCAGUGACUGAUGUGGAUGUUUUACUGUUAGAACCAGAACCAGGACCAGCAGAACCCAAGACCAGAGCUGGUUUCUUAAGAUAUUCACAAAGAAUCACACUGGAUCCAAACACAGUAAACAGACGACUGAAAUUAUCUGAUGGAAACAGAAGAGCAACAUUUACAAAACGACUACAGUCUUAUCCUGAUCAUCCAGACAGAUUCACUUAUUAUUAUGUUCAGGUCCUGAGUAGAGAGAGUCUGACUGGACGUUGUUACUGGGAGGUGGACUGGAGAGGGGGCGGGGUUAGUGUAGCAGUCGCAUACAAGACUAUCAGGAGAGAAAGGGGGUUAGAAAAAAGUUUCUUUGGAAACAAUAACAAAUCUUGGACGUUAGUCUGUUCUAAAGACAGGUAUGGAUUUAUUCACAACAGAGUCUUCACUCGUGUCUCAGUUCCUCCGUCCUCCAGAGUAGGAGUGUACCUGGAUCACAGAGCAGGUAUUCUGUCCUUCUACAGCGUCUCUGAAACCAUGACUCUCCUCCACAGAGUCCAGACCACAUUCACUGAACCUCUACAUGCUGGACUGAUGUUAGGCUGCAGUGAUGGAGACUCUGCUGAGUUUAUAGAAGUGAAGUAAAGAGAAUUUUGAGUCCAUCAGACCAAAAUCAUGGACUGAGAUCCUUGAACUCUUGAAAUGUUCUGGUUUGUAAAUGUUUGUGGAUCAGUCUCACCAAAAACUCUGGGUUUAGUUCUUCAUUUCAGCUUUUUGAUUCUUUUCUAAAGAUGCUGAUUUGGUCGCAGCUUUAAGGACAGUGAUUGUGGAGAACUUUGAUUGUUUGUAUUUCUCAUGUUGAAAAAUCUUCAUCAAGUUUGAUAUCAACAACAUCAAGAUGAUGGUUUGUUCAAAUCACCUUCAGUUGGUGCAGAUGUUGAAGGUCUGAGACUUUAGAAAAAAGUGAGGUCAAAAUCACAGAAAAAGGACGACCUUAUUUCCUGUCCCAAAUCCAAGCGUCUAAAGUCUUUCCAGUCGUCCCCAAAAACUCUUCAGAUGAUCUGUUUCUUUCUCUGUUUGCUGAAUAUUUGUGUUCAUGUGAUCGAUGGAUAUUUCUGUCUGCUUCUGUUGGAUCAGUGUGUUUGUAAAGACAUCUAGAAUCAGACUUUGGACAGAUCUACAUGUUGUUAUGAGCUUUUCAAUCACUCUAAUAAUAAUAAUCACAUUUAUUAGUCCGACUGUUUGGAUGUUUCUGACUCAGCUCUGAUUGUGGGUAAAAAAAUCAUAAAAAUCCUCAAACUGAGUCACUGAAAUCACCUCGUCUGUUUGUCUUUAUUGUGUCUGUUUCUGCUGGAUGUCAUGUUACCGCUCCGUCUGGGUCAUGGAUCCAUGUGGUCUUACAUGUCUACACCACCUUUAAAAAUUGAACAAAUAUAUUUAUUGAUCUCGUUUGAUACAUUAGAUGUUUUUGGAAACUUAUAAACUACAAGAGGACGUUUUUAUCAUCUAUCAGACUGUAUUCAGGUGUUUUUUUAGUCAUUUGUUGAUCAUAUUGAUUUGAUGGAAGUUUAUAAAAUUAUGUGUCGAAUAUGAUACAAAAGGCGAUAAAAGGAUUUCAGUCGUUAAAUCAGGAUUUAUAAUCCUGACUGAUCUCUGAAUGAAUAUUUAGGAUAAAUCAGUAUUUUCAGUCUGUUCAUCAAUAUUUCAGCCUGUUUUGUUUGCAGUUUUUUUAUCCCUGUUUUCUUCACGUUCAUCAACAACAACAACAACAAAAAAAAUCAUCCUCCACACGACAUGAUCCGAGUUUAUCUGAAGAGAGCGACAGGUGAGAGGGUUUAUCCACACCUGAGGAAUUAACCACCUCUGAGCUCAGAUCCAUCUCUGAGGAUGUGUGUGUGUGUGUGUGUGUGUGUGUGUUCAGGGUUGAAGGAUGAGUUCACAGCUCGUGUUUGUGUGUCUAAACUGACUCACAUCUCUACAGCAGCUUCUUCUUCUUCUUUCUGAUGUUGACAGUUUGAGCGAGCGGCUCGUCUGCAGGGAUCCUCCUGAAGAAGAAAAGAGGUUAAAAAAAAAACACAAAGAAUUGAGGAAACAGCAGAUAAAAAGUGAAGAAACAAGAAGCUAAAAUGUAAAACACAGAUCAGACCGAGGAGCAGAGAGUUAUCUCUGCAGGAGCCUCACCUCAGGAGAUCCAGCGUGUGAGGAGGAGGAGGAGGAGGAGGAGGAGAUCAGGAGCUUCCUCUCAGAUCAAACUCCAGGGAAAGGUGUAAAUGUUUGAGGCGGAUUUAUUAAUCAGUCUGCAGACGGAGAGUUUCAUCUGUGGAGAUAUUUUUACUCGACAUGAAACAGGGUUUGGACCAACAGGAAGACCUGGAUCUGUCACAGCAGGAGCAGAGAAAUACGAGUUCAGAGGAACAUCAGAGAGUCGGGGACUAACGUGGAGGUCAUUUACGGGAUUAUCAUCAGACAACAACAAGAACACAGAGGAAAUAUACUGAGAAAACAACAUUAAAAUGAGAGACGGUUAUUACCAGAAUACAGUUAAAGGUCCAUGAGAUUAUAAUCUGAAAUUUACAGAAUCGACUGAAAACAAUUAAGAAAAUACAACAGAUUAAAAAAAACAUUUAUUUAAUGAGAAUAUUAUUAUAAAUUGAACACAGAAAAGAGUCACAAGAAUUUACUUCAAGAUUUAUGAGAUUAAAGUCGUAAAUUUAGCAGAUUUACCCCCAAAAUUAUGAGUUUUAUAAUCCAUGAUAGAGGUCUGAAAUUCACGACACUGAGAUUAAAAAUGUACAAGACGUGUUAAUAUACGAGUGAAGAUCCAAAAUCUAUGAGAAUGAAGCUGUAAUAUUAAAAAUUAAAAAGUUAUUAAUCAAUAAGAUUUAUGAGGUAAAUUAGAUUAAAUUAGAUUUACAAGAUUAAAGUUCUUAUUCAAAAAUUCACACAAAAAAUAUGAUAAAGUUAUUAUUUUAAGAGAUGUAAAUUUAUGGUGUUAAUAUCACAAAUCUAAACAAUCAAAGUUAAAAAAGUCAAGACUAAAAUAUGAAUAUUAAAAACUGAUGAGAAGAAAGUCUCAUCUCCAGAGUAGAGUUUUAAUCUCGGAGAUUAGAGUGGUUCAUUUUUGAGACUGACGUCUUUAAUCUACAGCUCUAGUCUCGUUCGUUAUAAUGAGAAUAAAGUUUUUAAUUCAUGAGAUUAAAUCAGAAAAUCUAUGAGAACAAAACUGAGAAAAUUCUGAAUCUAUGAGAUUAAAGUCGUAAAUUUACGAUGAUGGUGACGAGAUACGUGAAGUCAACAGGAAGUGUUCUAUUCACACAGACUCCAGCUGUCACCAUCUUCAUCAUCUUCAUCAUCCAGAGCAAAAUCCAGGUACCAACAGGUGAGGGCAGAAGUGGACAAGAGGAGAGGGAGCAAGGAUAGAGGGUUAGGAUACAAGGAGAGGAUUAGAGGAGGCAAAGUGAUAAAAACUAUGAAGGAAACAAGAGGAAAGGAGAACAGAAGGAGUUAAGGAAAGGAAACUAAGAAAGGAAAUAAACCAAAGGAAGACUAGAGCCAUUUCCCUGCUCCCUAGACUUGCAUCCUUGUAUCCUUCACUAGUGUCUUAUUCCCUCCCACCAGAGAUGUAUGAAGAGAGGAGAGAGGGAACGAGGAAAGAAGGGUGAGAUGACGGCAUCAGCUGAUCAGUCAGCUGUCAGGGAGUGAAGGAACAACUCUGGCGGUUAAAGGAGACUUCAGGAGGAGAGAGGAGACUAGGAGAGGAAAUAAGAGAAGGAGAGGAGGAAAUGAGAAGAUGGGAGUAAAAGCAGCCGAGACGAGGAAGGAGGGGGCGAGUCGAGGAAAGGAGCAGAGGAGGUAAGGAGUUAAAAGGGAAGACGACGCUCUCCUGUUUUCUUCACGUCUCCACUCCUGCUGAUCUCAGAGUUUCAGAGAUGUUCGCCUCCUUCUGAACUCAAACUAUCAGAGAUUCAUCAGGACACAGAGAGAGGACAUGUCCACGAGUCCGCCUCACUAAUGAGCAAUCACAAACGAACCAAAGGUUAGGACAUAAUCCAGACUGGAGCUCCAGAUGAAGCUGUCAGAGAGGAUUAUAUCUGAAAUAAUCCUCACAUGCUGGUUCAUGGAGGGCAGCGUUUGUUCUGUGACUCUCCAUCCCUGCAGAGGAGGAGGAGGAGGCAGGUGGGUGCAGUAACAGACUUCUGACAGGUGGAGGUGCUGCAGGCUAACAGGCGGACACAGGCGGCUGUUCCAGCUCCACUAACACAAAUUCAAAUUCAACUUUAUUUAUACGGAACUUUUCAGGACCCACACACACACACACACAAAGACACACACCCACCCUCAGUCAGUCACUCACUCACCCACACAUACACACACACAAACACACACAGAGUGAGAAUUUUAGAUAUAUAGUUAAAGAGAGAUGACCCGGCACCGAGACAUGAGUGAGGAAGGAGCGACCUUUAGGAAACAUGGAGAUAAAAGAUUAAAAAUAAAAUGUUAAAAAGAAAAAGUAAAACCCGAUGGACGAAAACAAGAAAAUAAAAUAAAUUAAUUAAUUAAAAAUAGUUAAAAUGAAGACUAAAAUCUGAUGGAGUAAAACAAUAAAAUAAAAUAAAAAUUAAUUAAAAAUAGUUAAAAGAAAGACUAAAAUCUGAUGGACUUAAACAAUAAAAUAAAAUAAAUUUAAUUAAAAAUAGUUCAAAGGAAGAGUAAAACCUGAUGGACUAAAAUAAUAAAAUAAUAUUAAAUGAACAGAUAAGUAAGAGCGCUUUACCAUGUAAAAGGGGUAAAAGAAGUAAAAACCUCUAUGAUGGGAAUUAAAAAAAGACUAAGAACAGAGAUAAUUAAUAAAAUGACAUUAAAGAAAAAAUUAAGAAUUUUGAUUAAAAUGAACAUUUGCAAUAAGAGAAAUAUAAAAAGGUAGUUAGAGAAAAGUCCUGGUUAAAAAAGUGAGUCUGGAGCCUCUUCUUAAAAACAUCAACAGUCUCUGUGGUCCUGAGGAUCUCCAUCAGGCUGUUCCACAACCGGGGACCAGAGAAACUGAGCGCCGCCUCCCUCCCCGUGUGUUUUUGUUUUAACUUUGGGUUCAAAGGUUAAAAGGUCGUGAGGCUUUAUAUGAUAAAAGUAAGUCAGAUAAAUAAGAGGAGCCAAGACCAUUAAUACAUCUAAAAACUAAUAAAAGAAGAACCUGAAAAUCAAUCCUGAAACAGACGGGGAGCCAACGCAGCGACGCUAAAACUCGCCCUCUGACCCUCGUCAGAACUCUUACAGCUGAAUUCUGUAAAACCUGAAGUGUCUGUAAGUUCUUUUUUGGGAGGCCAGAGAGCAGGGCGUUACAAUAAUCUCAACGAGAGGAGACAAAAACAUCAGCAGCUCCGUGAAGAAGAAGAAAAGUCUGCUCAAGAUUUCCUGUUUUCUAACGAAACUACAGAUGGAGACUCAGUCACAUCCUGCUGCAGAGGAACUGACCAAAGCAUCCUGACCUACACACAGACCUGAACCCAGACCUGAACCCAGACCUGAACCCAGACCUGAGCCCUGACCUGAACCCAGACCUGAACCCAGACCUGAACCCAGACCUGAACCCUGACCCUGAAUCUGACCUGCUGUAAUAUGAACGG
RNAcentral lists this long non-coding RNA (8327 nucleotides) under Xyrichtys novacula (pearly razorfish). Lineage: Eukaryota; Metazoa; Chordata; Actinopteri; Labriformes; Labridae. The record is from RNAcentral.